UACGGAGGUGGCAAGCGUUGCUCGGAAUCACUGGGCAUAAAGGGCGCGUAGGCUGUUGGACAAGUCAGGUGUGAAAUCCCUCGGCUUAACCGAGGAACCGCACUUGAUACUAUCCAGCUGGAGUGCAGGAGGGGAGAGUGGAAUUCCCGGUGUAGCGGUGAAAUGCGUAGAUAUCGGGAAGAACGCCGGUGGCGAAAGCGGCUCUCUGGCCUGUAACUGACGCUGAGGCGCGAAAGCUAGGGGAGCAAACAGG
RNAcentral lists this ribosomal RNA (253 nucleotides) under uncultured bacterium. RNAcentral's name for it is "partial 16S ribosomal RNA". It matches the Rfam family "Bacterial small subunit ribosomal RNA", at positions 524 to 776 of the family's 1533-position model. The record is from RNAcentral.